RNAcentral lists this ribosomal RNA (254 nucleotides) under uncultured bacterium. Its description in RNAcentral is "partial 16S ribosomal RNA". It matches the Rfam family "Bacterial small subunit ribosomal RNA", at positions 526 to 779 of the family's 1533-position model. The record is from RNAcentral.
CGUAGGUGGCAAGCGUUGUCCGGAUUUAUUGGGCGUAAAGGGAGCGCAGGCGGUGACUUAAGUCUGAUGUGAAAGCCCACGGCUCAACCGUGGAAGGUCAUUGGAAACUGGGUCACUUGAAUAUAGAAGAGGAAAGUGGAAUUCCAUGUGUAGCGGUGAAAUGCGUAGAUAUAUGGAGGAACACCAGUGGCGAGGGCGACUUUCUGGUCUAUUAUUGACGCUGAGGCUCGAAAGCAUGGGUAGCAAACAGGAUU